This 429-nucleotide ribosomal RNA is filed under the name Actinomycetes bacterium. Its description in RNAcentral is "Actinobacteria bacterium partial 16S ribosomal RNA". It matches the Rfam family "Bacterial small subunit ribosomal RNA", at positions 355 to 776 of the family's 1533-position model. The record is from RNAcentral. RNAcentral also lists the same sequence under 1 other name. Lineage: Bacteria; Bacillati; Actinomycetota; Actinomycetes.
UAGGGAAUCUUCCGCAAUGGGCGAAAGCUUGACGGAGCAACGCCGCGUGAGUGAUGAAGGUCUUCGGAUCGUAAAACUCUGUUAUUAAGGAAGAACAAAUGUGUAAGUAACUAUGCACGUCUUGACGGUACCUAAUCAGAAAGCCACGGCUAACUACGUGCCAGCAGCCGCGGUAAUACGUAGGUGGCAAGCGUUAUCCGGAAUUAUUGGGCGUAAAGCGCGCGUAGGCGGUUUUUUAAGUCUGAUGUGAAAGCCCACGGCUCAACCGUGGAGGGUCAUUGGAAACUGGAAAACUUGAGUGCAGAAGAGGAAAGUGGAAUUCCAUGUGUAGCGGUGAAAUGCGCAGAGAUAUGGAGGAACACCAGUGGCGAAGGCGACUUUCUGGUCUGUAACUGACGCUGAUGUGCGAAAGCGUGGGGAUCAAACAGG